GUGAGUAACACGUAAGGAACCCGCCUAUUAGAGAGGAAUACCAGUGAGAAAUCACUGCUAAUACCUCAUAUGCCUUAUUUAUCGCAUGAUAAAAGAGGGAAAGGAGCAAUCCACUAAUAGAUGGCCUUGCGCCUGAUUAACUAGUUGGUGAGAUAAAAGCCCACCAAGGUAACGAUCAGUAGCCGAACUGAGAGGUUGAACGGCCACAUUGGGACUGAGAUACGGCCCAGACUCCUACGGGAGGCAGCAGUCGGGAAUAUUGCGCAAUGGAGGAAACUCUGACGCAGUGACGCCGCGUAUAGGAAGAAGGUUUUCGGAUUGUAAACUAUUGUCGAUAGGGAAGAGAAAAGACUGUACCUAUCAAGAAAGCUCCGGCUAACUACGUGCCAGCAGCCGCGGUAAUACGUAGGGAGCAAGCGUUAUCCGGAAUUAUUGGGUGUAAAGGGUGCGUAGACGGGAUGUCAAGUUAGUUGUGAAAUACCUCGGCUCAACUGGGGAACUGCAACUAAAACUAACAUUCUUGAGUGCAGGAGAGGAAAGUGGAAUUCCUAGUGUAGCGGUGAAAUGCGUAGAUAUUAGGAAGAACAUCGGUGGCGAAGGCGACUUUCUGGACUGUAACUGACGUUGAGGCACGAAAGUGUGGGGAGCAAACAGGAUUAGAUACCCUGGUAGUCCACACUGUAAACGAUGGAUACUAGGUGUAGGGGGUAUUAAGCCUUCUGUGCCGUCGCUAACGCAGUAAGUAUCCCACCUGGGGAGUACGACCGCAAGGUUGCAACUCAAAGGAAUUGACGGA
RNAcentral lists this ribosomal RNA (796 nucleotides) under uncultured Bacillota bacterium. Its description in RNAcentral is "bacterial SSU rRNA". It matches the Rfam family "Bacterial small subunit ribosomal RNA", at positions 106 to 917 of the family's 1533-position model. The record is from RNAcentral. Lineage: Bacteria; Bacillati; Bacillota.